RNAcentral lists this microRNA precursor (102 nucleotides) under Marmota monax (woodchuck). The record is from RNAcentral. Lineage: Eukaryota; Metazoa; Chordata; Mammalia; Rodentia; Sciuridae.
AGUGGGAAAGCUGGGUCAAAUGGUGGUUCCAUUCCUAAUUUUCUGAGAAAUCUCCAUGCUGCUUUCCAUAGUGGUUGCACCAAUUGCAGUCCCACCAGCAGU